Molecule: ribosomal RNA, 492 nt
Filed under: uncultured bacterium
Lineage: Bacteria
Description: partial 16S ribosomal RNA
Rfam family: Bacterial small subunit ribosomal RNA
Source: RNAcentral
AGUGAACGCUGGCGGUAGGCCUAACACAUGCAAGUCGAACGGCAGCACAGUAAGAGCUUGCUCUUACGGGUGGCGAGUGGCGGACGGGUGAGGAAUACAUCGGAAUCUACUUUUUCGUGGGGGAUAACGUAGGGAAACUUACGCUAAUACCGCAUACGACCUACGGGUGAAAGCAGGGGAUCUUCGGACCUUGCGCGAUUGAAUGAGCCGAUGUCGGAUUAGCUAGUUGGCGGGGUAAAGGCCCACCAAGGCGACGAUCCGUAGCUGGUCUGAGAGGAUGAUCAGCCACACUGGAACUGAGACACCGUCCAGACUCCUACGGGAGGCAGCAGUGGGGAAUAUUGGACAAUGGGCGCAAGCCUGAUCCAGCCAUACCGCGUGGGUGAAGAAGGCCUUCGGGUUGUAAAGCCCUUUUGUUGGGAAAGAAACGCAGCAGGUUAAUACCCCGCUGUUCUGACGGUACCCAAAGAAUAAGCACCGGCUAACUUCGUG